Molecule: ribosomal RNA, 303 nt
Filed under: uncultured bacterium
Lineage: Bacteria
Description: partial 16S ribosomal RNA
Rfam family: Bacterial small subunit ribosomal RNA
Source: RNAcentral
AGCAGUCGCCGCGGGAAUACGUAGGUGGCAAGCGUUGUCCGGAAUUAUUGGGCGUAAAGGGCUCGCAGGCGGUUUCUUAAGUCUGAUGUGAAAGCCCCCGGCUCAACCGGGGAGGGUCAUUGGAAACUGGGAAACUUGAGUGCAGAAGAGGAGAGUGGAAUUCCACGUGUAGCGGUGAAAUGCGUAGAGAUGUGGAGGAACACCAGUGGCGAAUGCGACUCUCUGGUCUGUAACUGACGCUGAGGAGCGAAAGCGUGGGGAGCGAACAGGAUUAGAUACCCCAGUAGUCCCUGUCUCUUAUAC